CUUAUGCGUUGUUGGGUAGGGGAGCGUUCUGUAAGCCUGUGAAGGUGUGCUGUGAGGCAUGCUGGAGGUAUCAGAAGUGCGAAUGCUGACAUAAGUAACGAUAAAGCGGGUGAAAAGCCCGCUCGCCGGAAGACCAAGGGUUCCUGUCCAACGUUAAUCGGGGCAGGGUGAGUCGACCCCUAAGGCGAGGCCGAAAGGCGUAGUCGAUGGGAAACAGGUUAAUAUUCCUGUACUUGGUGUUACUGCGAAGGGGGGACGGAGAAGGCUAUGUUGGCCGGGCGACGGUUGUCCCGGUUUAAGCGUGUAGGCUGGUUUUCCAGGCAAAUCCGGAAAAUCAAGGCUGAGGCGUGAUGACGAGGCACUACGGUGCUGAAGCAACAAAUGCCCUGCUUCCAGGAAAAGCCUCUAAGCAUCAGGUAACAUCAAAUCGUACCCCAAACCGACACAGGUGGUCAGGUAGAGAAUACCAAGGCGCUUGAGAGAACUCGGGUGAAGGAACUAGGCAAAAUGGUGCCGUAACUUCGGGAGAA
RNAcentral lists this ribosomal RNA (530 nucleotides) under Escherichia coli. RNAcentral's name for it is "partial 23S ribosomal RNA". It matches the Rfam family "Bacterial large subunit ribosomal RNA", at positions 1213 to 1744 of the family's 2925-position model. Lineage: Bacteria; Pseudomonadati; Pseudomonadota; Gammaproteobacteria; Enterobacterales; Enterobacteriaceae. The record is from RNAcentral.